Molecule: ribosomal RNA, 433 nt
Filed under: uncultured bacterium
Lineage: Bacteria
Description: partial 16S ribosomal RNA
Rfam family: Bacterial small subunit ribosomal RNA
Source: RNAcentral
AACGAACGCUGGCGGCAUGCCUAACACAUGCCAGUCGAACGAGACCUUCGGGUCUAGUGGCGCACGGGUGCGUAACGCGUGGGAACCUGCCCUUAGGUUCGGAAUAACUCCCCGAAAGGGGUGCUAAUACCGGAUAAUGUCUUCGGACCAAAGAUUUAUCGCCUUUGGAUGGGCCCGCGUUGGAUUAGCUAGUUGGUAGGGUAAAAGCCUACCAAGGCGACGAUCCAUAGCUGGUCUGAGAGGAUGAUCAGCCACACUGGGACUGAGACACGGCCCAGACUCCUACGGGAGGCAGCAGUGGGGAAUAUUGGACAAUGGGCGAAAGCCUGAUCCAGCAAUGCCGCGUGAGUGAUGAAGGCCUUAGGGUUGUAAAGCUCUUUUACCCGGGAUGAUAAUGACAGUACCGGGAGAAUAAGCGCCGGCUAACUCCAUG